UUGGAGGGCAAGUCUGGUGCCAGCAGCCGCGGUAAUUCCAGCUCCAAUAGCGUAUAUUAAAGUUGUUGCAGUUAAAAAGCUCGUAGUUGAAUUUCGGGAUCAAUAUAUCGGUCGUGCCAUCGGUACGUACUGGUAUGAUUGGUUUCUCCUUUCUGACGAACCAUGAUGUCAUUAAUUUGGUGUUAUGGGAAGUUAGGACUGUUACUUUGAAAAAAUUAGAGUGUUUAAAGCAGGCUUUAGCUUGAAUACAUCAGCAUGGAAUAAUGAAAUAGGACGUUCGAACCUAUUUUGUUGGUUUCUAGGAUCAACGUAAUGAUUAAUAGGGAUAGUUGGGGGCAUUAGUAUUCAAUUGUCAGAGGUGAAAUUCUUGGAUUUAUUGAAGACUAACUACUGCGAAAGCAUUUGCCAAGGAUGUUUUCAUUAAUCAAGAACGAAAGUUAGGGGAUCGAAGACGAUCAGAUACCGUCGUAGUCUUAACCAUAAACUAUGCCGACUAGGGAUCGGAUGAUGUUAAUUUUUUAAUGACUCAUUCGGCGCCUUACGGGAAAC
Molecule: ribosomal RNA, 549 nt
Filed under: uncultured Glomus
Lineage: Eukaryota; Fungi; Glomeromycota; Glomeromycetes; Glomerales; Glomeraceae
Description: SSU rRNA
Rfam family: Eukaryotic small subunit ribosomal RNA
Source: RNAcentral